CUCACGGCUCCAGACUGGUUCACUCAAGAUUUCUUAUCUGCAAUGGAACCACUUCUGUUGUGAAGUUCUCAGUCACCAGCAGGUGCAUUUUGGGGAACUUGCUAGAACACCACAUUCACAAACCCUUUCUCAGGCUUUCUGAAUCAGAGGUGUCAUAAAAUCGGUAAUCCCAUUGCUCCUGGGCCUUCCAUGUGAUUCUGCUCCACUUUCCAUGUAUCACCUUCCCAGAGGUUCUGUGAGAAUGACAGGAGGGCAGGUGUGAGAAGCUCAGACUGUGCCUGGAGCCUCAGCAUUGCUCAGUGGUGACAUCAUCUUCAUCUGCACCACCACAGCAGCAUCUCCUCUAGCAAAGCUUUCACUGCCAAGAGGAACUGGUCCUCAGAGGUGGAGCUGUCCUUCUCCUGGAACACCCAGCUCAGAUGUUCUGUGAAAAUGACAGGAGAGCAGGUGUGAGAAGCUCAGACUGUGCCUGGAGCCUCAGCAUUGCUCAGUGGUGACAUCAUCUUCAUCUGCACCACCACAGCAGCAUCUCCUCUAGCAAAGCUUUCACUGCCAAGAGGAACUGGUCCUCAGAGGUGGAGCUGUCCUUCUCCUGGAACACCCAGCUCAGG
Molecule: long non-coding RNA, 611 nt
Filed under: Cricetulus griseus (Chinese hamster)
Lineage: Eukaryota; Metazoa; Chordata; Mammalia; Rodentia; Cricetidae
Description: lncRNA (ENSCGRG00000024252.1)
Source: RNAcentral